Molecule: long non-coding RNA, 576 nt
Filed under: Cricetulus griseus (Chinese hamster)
Lineage: Eukaryota; Metazoa; Chordata; Mammalia; Rodentia; Cricetidae
Description: lncRNA (ENSCGRG00015043281.1)
Source: RNAcentral
CCUGCUCCAGCGGCACAAUGUGAUCCACCGGCAAGGAGGGACGCCAAUAAGGCGUCCGAUAAGAUAAGACAUGCCACCUUGCAAGUCAGGAGAUGCAGCCUCCAGCAGAAGGUCCCGUCUGGAGUGGCGUGAGAACUAAACAGGUCCUAGGCUUCGCAUGCCCCCAGAAUGGCCACUACGGAGGCUGAGGCUGGAAAGAGCACCGGGUGCCAGGAUGGGAACACUGCGUCGGUGGGGUGGUUGGCCAGGGUUUGGACUUUAAGUGUCUCCUAGAACCACCUAAGCAGGAGACCAGAGAGAGAGGAGAGAGGAAGGAGAGAGAGAGCCCCAAUCUUCACUGCCUUCCGGUUCCGGCCACACCUGAAGCCACGCCCAAAGGGGUGUGGCCACUCACAAAUACACUACAAAGGGCAUCAAGAUUGCCUGUGUGGAGGUGACGUGGCAACUGUCAGAAGGGGCCCUAAAAUGUCAGUUCUGUCACACAGUCACGUGACCAGUGGAAGAGGACAGCAGCCCUGGAGCCUGAGAGGCGCUGGGUAGUGCACCCCACUCUAAUGGGUGUGAACUCAGCGGGGG